Molecule: ribosomal RNA, 254 nt
Filed under: uncultured bacterium
Lineage: Bacteria
Description: partial 16S ribosomal RNA
Rfam family: Bacterial small subunit ribosomal RNA
Source: RNAcentral
UACGUAGGGUGCGAGCGUUAAUCGGAAUUACUGGGCGUAAAGCGUGCGCAGGCGGUUCGUUGUGUCUGUGGUGAAAGCCCCGGGCUUAACCUGGGAAUGGCCAUGGAAACUGGCGAGCUGGAGUGUGGCAGAGGGGGGUGGGAAUUCCGCGUGUAGCAGUGAAAUGCGUAGAGAUGCGGAGGAACACCGAUGGCGAAGGCAGCCCCCUGGGUUGACACUGACGCUCAGGCACGAAAGCGUGGGGAGCAAACAGG